RNAcentral lists this long non-coding RNA (807 nucleotides) under Calidris pugnax (ruff). RNAcentral's name for it is "lncRNA (ENSCPUG00000004827.1)". Lineage: Eukaryota; Metazoa; Chordata; Aves; Charadriiformes; Scolopacidae. The record is from RNAcentral.
CCCCCCAAGGGGAAGCCCCCUCUUCCACCCCCUGCCUCAGUUUCCCCCUCACACAACAACUCCCUCCGUCCCCUCGACAUCCCUCACGUCGGCCUCAUCGUUAGGACCCUAAAAGGUCCCGUUAUCACCCCGUUUUCCCCCUGGGGGGUCGCCCUUCCUCGGGUAGACACCACCCCAAGUCCCGAACCCCCCAAGGGGAAGCCCCCUUUUCCACCCCCUGCCUCAGUUUCCCCUCACACAACAACUCCCUCCGUCCCCUCGACAUCCCUCACGUCGGCCUCAUCAUCAGGACCCUGAAAGGUCCCGUUAUCACCCCAUUUUUCCCCACGGGGGUCACUCAGGCACCCCCCAGGGGGUCGGUGGGGAGCGGGAAGAGGAGCUCAGGGGGGGAGCUGGGGGAGAUAUUCUUUUUUUUUUUAAUAGAAAUUGCUAUUUUGUCUUUUUUCCAGGCUGGGCCCUCAUCGGCUCCUGGAGCGAGGGAGAAGGUGCCGGCUCCGGGCGAGGGAACCCGCCGCUGGGAAGGAGCUCCUGGAAGAUGGAUCCCGGCCGGAGCGAGCCCCCGGAGGAGCCAGGGAGCCGGCGGCCAGUGGAGAACGGGCUGAGCCCGGAGCUCCGGGUGGAGAAAUACCCGGAGAAGGGGAAGCUGCUGGGGCCGGCGCUGAGCCGCAUCCGGAGCGGUAGGAACACCAGGAAAGGGGGGGGAUUUCCUCCAGGAAAAGGGGGGAGAUUUCCCCAGGAAAAGGGGAAAUUUCCUCCGGGAAAGGGGGAAAUUUCCACCGGGAAAAGGGGGAAAUUUCGCCAGGAAAG